Ananas comosus (pineapple) is the source of this 689-nucleotide long non-coding RNA. RefSeq lists it as uncharacterized. The record is from RefSeq and is a predicted model, not a curated record. The transcript has 4 exons. NCBI's taxonomy places the organism in Eukaryota, Viridiplantae, Streptophyta, Magnoliopsida, Poales, Bromeliaceae.
AUGGGAAGGAGAUAUUGCCAAUAUAGCUAAAAACAUUGUCGAAGAGCAAAGCCCAAGGCAAUUAUAUGUCAUCCGUGGAAAGCUCAAGAAACUUAUCGAGCACAAUGUGUCCCCUGAUUUUAUUUUCAGUAUGCUUAUUGUAGAACUGAAGAAGAACAUGGAUGAGGAGUUCAGGGAUAAGAUAGAUGACUUAUAUCAGAGAUAUAGCAAUGUAAUAUCCACUUUUCUCACUAGAAUACUUGUAGUACAACAUGCUGUCUAAAAUAGGUUAGUUCAGUGACUAACAUCUAGUUCCUUUUUCUUUUCUUUUUUUUUUUUUUAAAAAAUUUUUUAUGGGUGAUUAUCAGUUAAACAAUUCACUUACCCUUGAGGAUGGGCCCAUGGCUUUCGGAGACAUCAAGCAAGAAGGCUCUGGCAAAAAAUAUCAUGACCCAAAGAGGGAUGUUCAAUAUUUCAUGAGAAUCGAAGAAUUUACCGCAAAGUUCAUGAGCUUCUACAAGUCGAUAGCCCCGAAGAGCAUACCUGGAGAGGUGAACUGUUAAAAUGUGAAAGUAUAUCACAUUUUAGGAUACCUAUAGUAUAACCACAUGAAACAAGAAGUGGUUUUGAAUAAAACAAGUAUAAAGCUAGUUCAUACAAUAUUUGAACUUUGCAAUUCACUUGUGUGCUUCAGGGGGUUUUAUAUAGUG